CCUACGGGAGGCAGCAGUGGGGAAUAUUGGGCAAUGGGCGCAAGCCUGACCCAGCAACGCCGCGUGAAGGAAGAAGGCUUUCGGGUUGUAAACUUCUUUUAAGAGGGAAGAGCAGAAGACGGUACCUCUUGAAUAAGCCACGGCUAACUACGUGCCAGCAGCCGCGGUAAUACGUAGGUGGCAAGCGUUGUCCGGAUUUACUGGGUGUAAAGGGCGUGCAGCCGGGAAGACAAGUCAGAUGUGAAAUCCCGCGGCUCAACCGCGGAACUGCAUUUGAAACUGUUUUUCUUGAGUACCGGAGAGGUCAUCGGAAUUCCUUGUGUAGCGGUGAAAUGCGUAGAUAUAAGGAAGAACACCAGUGGCGAAGGCGGAUGACUGGACUGUAACUGACGUUGAGGCUCGAAAGCGUGGGGAGCAAACAGGAUUAGAUACCCCGGUAGUC
RNAcentral lists this ribosomal RNA (442 nucleotides) under uncultured bacterium. RNAcentral's name for it is "partial 16S ribosomal RNA". It matches the Rfam family "Bacterial small subunit ribosomal RNA", at positions 338 to 795 of the family's 1533-position model. The record is from RNAcentral.